This 807-nucleotide ribosomal RNA is filed under the name uncultured bacterium. RNAcentral describes it as "bacterial SSU rRNA". It matches the Rfam family "Bacterial small subunit ribosomal RNA", at positions 1 to 807 of the family's 1533-position model. The record is from RNAcentral.
UUAGAGUUUGAUCCUGGCUCAGGAUGAACGCUAGCGACAGGCUUAACACAUGCAAGUCGAGGGGCAUCAUGAGGUAGCGAUACCUUGAUGGCGACCGGCGCACGGGUGAGUAACGCGUAUGUAACCUGCCCGACACAGGGGAAUAGCCCAUGGAAACGUGGAUUAAUGCCCCAUAUGGCCAUGAGUGCGCAUGUACUUUUGGUGAAAUUUACGGAGGUGUCGGAUGGGCAUGCGUCCUAUUAGGUAGUUGGAGAGGUAACGGCUCCCCAAGCCGAUGAUAGGUAGGGGUUCUGAGAGGAAGGUCCCCCACAUUGGAACUGAGACACGGUCCAAACUCCUACGGGAGGCAGCAGUGAGGAAUAUUGGUCAAUGGACGGAAGUCUGAACCAGCCAAGUCGCGUGAGGGAAGACUGCCCUAUGGGUUGUAAACCUCUUUUAUAAGGGAAGAAUAAGUGCUACGUGUAGUACGAUGCCAGUACCUUAUGAAUAAGCAUCGGCUAACUCCGUGCCAGCAGCCGCGGUAAUACGGAGGAUGCGAGCGUUAUCCGGAUUUAUUGGGUUUAAAGGGUGCGUAGGCGGUAUGUUAAGUUAGUGGUAAAACGGUUGGGCUCAACUCAAUCUGGCCAUUAAAACUGGCAAACUCGAGUUCAGACGGGGUAGGCGGAAUAAGUUAAGUAGCGGUGAAAUGCAUAGAUAUAACUUAGAACACCGAUCGCGAAGGCAGCUUACCAGACUGCGACUGACGCUGAAGCACGAGAGCGUGGGUAUCGAACAGGAUUAGAUACCCUGGUAGUCCACGCCGUAAAC